ACGCUCGACACCUACGGAGGCAGCAGUGAGGAAUAUUGGUCAAUGGACGCAAGUCUGAACCAGCCAUGCCGCGUGCAGGAUGACGGCUCUAUGAGUUGUAAACUGCUUUUGUACGAGGGUAAACGCAGAUACGUGUAUCUGUCUGAAAGUAUCGUACGAAUAAGGAUCGGCUAACUCCGNGCCAGCACGCCGGACGGUUAAUCUGGACGGCCGGGUCGUCGGACGAAGGC
This 230-nucleotide ribosomal RNA is filed under the name uncultured bacterium. RNAcentral's name for it is "partial 16S ribosomal RNA". It matches the Rfam family "Bacterial small subunit ribosomal RNA", at positions 328 to 540 of the family's 1533-position model. The record is from RNAcentral.